UUUUUUUUUUUUCCUACCUGAAACUUGCGCGUGUGUGUUUAGUUGUUUUCGGUUCUUGUAAAGAGCGGUGAUGGGGAACAAGGCUUAUUUUCACAAUCUCUGUGUACCACCCCUCCCCUACCCUCCCCCCAAAAUUAUUGUGGCAUGAAGUGUCAUUGCCUCCUCGGCAGCCUCUGUUUACCAGGGUAAAAGGUUAUUAUUUAGAAUUUGUUGUUCAGUAUAGGGUCCAAAGUUGCUUGGUCGACCUUGAAAUUGGACUUUCAGACAAGAAGCUUCCGUGUUAGUUCUUUCUUUGAAGGCUUUGGCUAUUUGGAUGCUGAUUUUUGUUUUUAAUUGAUCACGCCCUUUUCCGUGUUAUAAGGAACUAUAAAAAUGCACCAGUUGUGACUUCUUCAGUACUAUAAAGGUGAACAGAUAGACUGAUGAUAGAUAGAUCCCCAUGCCCCUUAAUUUUUUUCAUAUAUAUGUAUGUAUGCACAUAUAUAUCCAUCUUUGGUGGGCACAGUGUAUAAAAAAUAUAGAGAGAUUUAUUUAUAUAUCUAUAUUCAGAUAUCUGUGUAUAUUUUUAUACUUAUUUAUAUAUCUAUAUUCAGAUAUCUAUAUAUAUUUUUUGUACACCAUGCCCACCAAAGAUGGAUAUAUGCACACAUAUCUUUAUCUGCAUCUCUGCCUAGCUGAUCAGUCAUGUGUCUCUAUAGAUAGAAGUGAAGGAAGAGAAGAGAUAUACAUUUGGGAGACCUUGCAUGAUGCAGUGAAUGACUGGAGGCAAGCCAGGGUCACAUCUCUCACAUCUUCAUUUUCUCAUCUGUUUGUUGAAGAGACUGGAUCAUAUCGUGGUUCUCAACAGGCUGGGCAGGGAUAUCAGAAUGCCCUGGGGGUGCUUUAUCAAGCUAUAAAUGUUCCCUGGAAAUUCCUGUACUUACAGAGGCAUGAAACUCCCCCACCUACCCCUUCUUUGGGAAUUGCCACCAUGGAGCGAACAGUAUGAUGACCGACCCAUGCUGAAUCUCUCAUGGGUCCUGGGGUGAAGAAGAGUCUGAGACCACUGGCCCAGAGGGAGCACUAAUGGGGUCCCCUUGAGUUGGAACACUCUUUGAUUCCAUCGGCUAAUGUUUUCCCAAGGAUCCCUAGUUUGUGGGUUAUUCAGAUUCAGAUUAUUCUGCUAAACAAUUGCAGGCCUCAGCAUGGUUUGAGAAAUCCACUGUAUUCAUGACCUAGGCAGCCUUCCACCUGUUUCAGGGGGGUGUUGUACGUAGGGGUGAGGAUGAGGGGAUGAUGUAUAAUACAACAAGGAAGGGAGGAAAGAAGUAGGGCACCUAGGUUCAUCGGACCUGGCUUUUUCUUUUUUCCUUACAAACUUUUUUGUCGGAUGCCUUUCACAGCUCUGGCUUACUGAACGACUGCCAUUCUAUAAGAGAAUAGUAGUGUUUCUAUAAGUUAUUUUCUCCUUUUUCCAAGAAGAAUUGUUUAAUACUCAAAUAACCUUUUGUAUUCAAGUAGAUGAAUGUAUCCAAUACAUUUUUUAAUACCUUCUCUUUUCAGAUCAACCUCUACAAAUCUUCCCUUUUUAAUACUUCUGUUUUGAGGGUUGUUUUUUUUCCCCAUAUCCCUGACGUCCAAACCCCUCUGUCCUGCUUGCCACUGAAGAGGUCUGUAAAUUUCUGACACAAAAUAAAACUGAAAGAAUGCUUUCCCUCACUUAAGAGUAUUCAAAGAGCAUCACAAUGUAACAUGAUGAAAAAUGUUUUAACCUUUUUGGCUAAUUUAAGAGUUAUUAGUCAUUGAGCUUGAAAGCUGUUGUGUCUGGAAUUGGUAAUAGAAAGAAGUUCCAAUUUAACAGUGAUCACAAUGGUUGUUAAGAGUUCCUAAAUUAGUUUUAAAUGUUCUCACAAACACAAGCAUCUGACUUUUGAAUGUUUUCCUGAACUUUCUUCUGGUAAAGCUAAUUUUAAUGCUGUUUUUCUUCUCCAGCCUCUUAAAGUGGAAGCUUUCUUUUGGAAUAAAGGUACCUUUAAAGAGCUUUUAGAUGGCUAGCCUAAUCAUUAGAAUAUUAGAUUUUUCUUUAAUCUUUAAUAUUAGUUGAGUUUGUACUUCGUAUAGUAUUUCAUUCUCCUAAGUGGACACCCUUUCCCCCAGCAAAAGAGCUUAUUUUGACCUGAUUUGCAUACCUUCGCCAACAUCCCUCCCCCACCUUCCACGUUGGGUCACACAUCUAAAUUUCCAGAAAACACCCUUUUAAACCUCCAAUUGGUUGUAUUUGAAAGCAACAUGGGUUAAAGAGUUUGUUAAAAUGUGGGGUUGGGUUUCUCCAACCAACUAACAGUUGGUAGGAGAACAUAAAUUUCAUUAGCAUUAAACAAAUGUUCCUAAUAUUAAACACUGCCAGAUGACUGAAGCACUUCUGUCAGAUUACCGCGAGUGCCAGGGGGCCCACAGAUGAAUUUUCUACACAGUAUAUAUUCUGUACCACACGUUUGGUGACUUCAGUAAUUGGUCAAAUGUAAUUUAGGUAACAGUAUGCCUAGGCUGUAAAAAUCAAAUUUUAUUAGCCAUAUCACCAGGUGGGUGAAUGGUGGAGCUGAUGGCAAAGGGUUUAUAGCAUUUAUCAGCUACACCUUUGACACAUGGAAUUCAUAAAUUGCCAUAACGUACCUGCAAGGCCUUUCUCAAAAGGACAGUGUCUGCUUUCCUAUGAUUAAAUAAUGUUUGUUUUAUUAACUAAUAUAUUUUCUGCUUUCUCCUCUUAAAUGGGAUUAUGGAGUGGGGGUGAGAGAGGGCAUUCAGAAGAUAAAUAAAACACGGUUCUUGCUUGCUUGGAGGAUUUAAAAAUCUAAUUGGGGAAGACAGGAUUAACACACCUGAAAGGUUAACUAAUGUUACAAGAAAGUCAAUGAUUAAGUAUUUGGUGAGUGUUGCAGAAAGCAAGAACAGGAGGAAUUUAGCACUGGGCUGGCCGGGGCAGGGAGGGGGGUGAUCCUUGGAGGGGGGUCAGGGAAAGCCUCAUGAAAAAGGCAAGACUGGGUCUGGUUUUAAAGGACAGGGAGAGGGGCGCCUGGGUGGCUCAGUCAGUUAAGCAUCUGACUUCCACUCAGGUCAUGAUCUCACAGCUUGUGGGUUCGAGCCCCGCAUUGGGUUCCACGCCAACAGCACAGAGCCUGCUUGGGAUUCUGUCUCUCCCACUCUCUCUGCUCCUCUCCCACUCGUGCUUUCUCUCUCAAAAGUAAAUAAAUAAUAAAAACUUAAGAGAAAAAAAAAAAGGAUAGGGAGAAAGGCUAAUAGAAAAGUUUUGGAAAUACCUAGAUCACUGACAAUUCAUGUCCUGACUCUCCAUGUUAAGAAUGGCUGCCUUCACCCUGGGUGAACCGUUGGCCUUCCCUUACUUGGUUUGCCCCCAAUAAAUGGACUGGUGCCUUCUCUUUACCAGGGGGACAGGAAUAUGAGUCUGUGGACCAGGGCUGGGACGAACCCAGGCAGUGGCUUUAGAGCCUAAACUAGGCUUUCUUGGGCAGAGAUGACCCACAUCCUCUGUGCGUGUGACAGCCUCUUCCAACUGCUCAGACAUCAUCACCCCUCCCCACUGUUUCAAUGUUGUCCACUGAAUAACAGGUUUAAUUGAACAAUAAAAGUAAGGCUUUUAAAUCUACAAUGAAUCCCUAUAAAUAAAUUCUCCGUGGAAUUUUAUGAAGCUGUUUAAUGAAAAGUUUGAUUAGAAACUAUUAAAGAAAAAUAGAAUAGAUGAAAUUUCAUCAUUUAGUCCCACAUUACAGUGGUGUCAUUUUGAUUUUUAUUUACAUUGAGAUAUUCAGAAUAGAGUAAAUAUAUCCUGGUUUUAAUUAACUAUCCUCCUUACUUGGGAAAGGUUAUUUUAGGCUUGAAGGGUUUUGAUAGCAUACCAUCUGCUUUCGUCCCUGUAUUUUAUUCAAGUCCCUUCCCUGCUUACAGCGCUGUGCGAUAUCUAAACCUAUGACAUAAGCAUAAAUCGAAUCAUAUUAAUGGCAGGUGAUUGAAAAACUUGAGCCUCGACAUCCUGCCUGAAUCCUUCCGUCUUGUCAGUUACAAUGCUCUUAAAGGCAAUGUGCUGUUUUCUCAGCACAAGAAAAUGGACUAUUUUUAAAACUAAAGCAAUGGACUCCCCAUUAAAGCAUUGUGAAAACUGAUUGUAUUGCACAUGCAAUUAGGAAAUGAGAUUAUAAUAAUAAUGAAGGGAAAGUGACAUUACGAAUGACAAUUUUUCUCAUAAAAAUCUCUCCCCUGUGCAUAAUUCCUGCCCCCACUGUCCUGUUAGACUCUCCUAGCACGAGGCAUUCUUCAACCAUCCCCCCACCUUGCUUUUACCUCUUUUUAUAAUUUGAUUCCUCUUUUGUAAAACGCAUACCAUCAUUUAUAUCAUGCUAUUGUCUGGACGGUAGGAAAAACAUACACGUGCACCCAUUUUGCCUAUUUUCCCUGUUAGAACAAUAAAAUGCCUACCAGUUUGUCAUGCGUGCUGUUUACAUGACUAUCACACGAUUGAUUUCACAUGUGUGAAGUGUUGACAGCCAACUCCAAACAGAGGUGUGCACAGUACAGUAGGUACAUGGACAACUUUAAGGUACCAGCUUUAUCAGAUGUAAGGUGGACCCAGUAUAUAUAAAUGAGAUGAAAUCAGUCCGUAAAUAUGGGUGGAACUAAAUGGAUUAAGAUAUGGUUAAUUAAAAAUAUAACAAAAGAUACGGUUUAUUUUAGUCUGAGUUUUGAAUUACAAAGACAUAAGACAUUCUCCUAAGUUCUUUGCAGUCGGGGUGUGUGUGUGUGUGUGUGUGUGUGUGUGUGUGUGUGUUCCUUGACCAAGGAAUGGGAUGGAGUUAAAGGAAGGAUGUGGUAAUUCACCUGAAAAGAGCAGAGAUCAGAUGGACUGCCGUCUUGGCAUUUGGUCCACGUGCAGGAAACCAUGAGGUCCUACCCUCAGGGAGAAGGUGGCUACAUCAGCAUUAAAACGUAUCCUUUGCUGAAGCGCAAGGAGCAUGGCACCAUUUAGGAGAAAGAAGUGCCAGGCUUACAAUCAGGUACAGUAUUAAUCAAGGCUCGCCUGUCUGAUUUGCUAUUCCUCUGGGCAAGAGAUGUAAGUCCCCUCACUUGUCCCAUCUUUAAAACCGGGUAGUAAUAGCUCAUCGCCAGACUCAGACUAAAUCUGUAUCCACUUGACCAAAAAAAAGUCCUCGUGGUGAAUGAAGAUUCUCUACUGUUUCUAUUAGAACUUAGGACUUAGACAACUUAGAAUCAUCUACACUGAUCUUGCUCUGUAAAUAAUAAAGGAACUGUUCCUCUAAGGCCCUGGGACUCUUUCUAGAACCAUAAUGGAAAAGAAAACUUUCCUACUUUUUACAGUAUGUUUUAAAGAAUCUUUUCUGACUCUGCACUGAACUUUCCAUUUCUGUUUUCCUGUUGGGUGAAAUAAUGACAUUCUAGACAAAAGAAGAAAAAGCCAAGGGAGGGAGGAAAACAGAAGAGGGAAUGAAACUUUGACUUCUUAUGAAAGAAAAUUCAGGAUGCAUAAAAUUAUUUUGAAGCAGAGGACGAGCUGGACUGUGCCUCUUCCCUCUAAACAUCACAUGUUUUGCUGGAAAUGAAAGGAAAGGCAGUUGUUUUGUUAAGGAUCAUGGGAAUUUGUAAGUGAGUAAACAUUUUUUUUUCCUUGCCAAAGUAGGUUUCAUGGUCACAGUGGAUUUCGAUGAUCAAAUGGCCUUGCUCCUGGCCCCUGUCCACAUUCAGGCUUUUGCUGCCUGCCUGCAGUGCCCACUGAUCUCCCAAAUGAUAACAAGGCAGAUGUUUCUCUUUAAUUGAAGCAGAGUGGAAAAGGAGCCGUGCUUCUUGUAUAUUGCUAUUUAUGCAGAAGACCUUAACCUUCAGAGAUCUCUCUUGGAGGACUGUUUUGUCUUGGAAAUUUUCUAGAGAUUCUGUUUGCCAUUAGAUAGUGGCCUACCCAGGACCAUGCUUGGUACUUUCUGUUUAUUGCAUGUGCUGCCCAAGUAGGGGCAGAGGAAUGUUUAAGUUCAUCAUACAACGUAGUAAAUGUAGUGGUAUAUCGGAUGUGCUCAAUAGUACAUGUAAUGAUUAACAUAUGGCCUUGGCUUCCAGGACGCUAAGACACAAAGAGGGCUGGAGAGCAGACCUCCUGGGGCAGAGCAUUAGAAGCUAGGGUACCAUCUCUGUGGAGGGUUAACGAACAGAAUUUUUAUGUUGUUACUGCAAGUUAACUUUCAGAGUCAUGCUAUAUGGAAUGGGUAGGAUUCAUGGAUUUCUUUUCUAUUUUUGGAGCUUGAAGGGAUAUUUUAAAAUAACUGUGGACUCCUUUUGUAGCCGAGGGGACUCAAUGGGUUAUUAAAAACUAUUUGGACUCACGGGUACAACAAACUCUUGUUCACUCCAGAAGAAAGGAUUUGUGUCUAUAUUGGCUAAUAUUUCACCUAGCAUUUCAUUUAGAAAAGCAAGAAAGUUAUAUCCCAUUACAUUAGCAAGAUCAACAUAUUCCUCUCUAGGGUGAAAUAGAUAUUUUUAUCAGUUAACACACACACACACACACACACACACACACACACACCACAGGAAAGAACCAGGUCAUUGAAAAAUCACAGGCAAAUGUGCUACUUAGGGUAGGGAUGGUAGAAUGAGGAUCAGAAUAAGUCUGUAUUCGCUUGAUUUAUAAAAUCCUCUUGAUAGCAAAAGAUACCCUCUAAACCCCUUCAUUCUAUCUGCUCAAGGAAAUUGGAUUGAUUAAAGUUCCUUGGACUGUAGCGAGGCUGUCUGGGGAUGCUGGGAGCCCACCACAGUGCCUGACACUCAGUACGUUCUUGUCCAUUUAUGCAUUGCACCAAUAUCUAUUACACACUUACCAUGUGCCAGGUAUUAUUCUUGUCCCUGUGCACACAGUUGUAAAUAAGACAAAACAAUUUAUACUCCUAAUGAUCUUACAGUGUGGUAUGUGGGGAGAAGAUUGGGAAAAUAUGGGAUAGGCAUGCCAUGGGUAUUAACCAUACCUCACGAGCUGUGAGGAUUAGGACACUUAGAUGGUCCAUGGCAAGUACUACUUAAGUACUCAUCAUUAACUAAGUCUUCUUGUACCUCUUGCACCACGCCACACAACCUUACCCACCUACCAAGUCCAUAGUGGUUCCUCAAAAAAACAUUUAUAGAAUUAUUUCAUACCUAUACAGACUACUGGGGAAAUGAGGUAUCAUUUGCUAGUAAAUAUCAUUCAACAACCACUCAUUCCAGAAAUACUUGUUUGUCCUUCUGCAUGGAAUGUGUUUCCCCAGAUAUCAUGGGUCUGGCUUCUUCUCAUCAUUGCAUCCUCAGCUCAGAUGUCUGCUCCCCAGACAAGUCUUCUCUGACUUGCCCCUUUUCACGUGUUCCGCUGUACCCCGUCACCCAACAUAUACUUACCGUCCUAUAACUUAUCUCUAUCUGAGAUUAACUAUCAUAUUUGUUUUGUUAUAUGUUUAUCGUCUGUCUCCCCCAUCCCCACCUGUGUUAUAAUGUAAGCUCUUUAAGAGAGGGUUCACGUGGGGCACCUGGGUGACUCAGUCAGUUAAGUGUCUGACUCUUGAUUUUGGCUCAGGUCAUGAUCUUACAGUUUGAGAGUUCGAGCCCUGCCUCCCUGCUUGGGAUUCUCUCUGUCUGCCCCUCCCACGCUCGCUCUCUCUCUCUAAAUAAAUAAGUAAACUUUAAAAAAAGCGGGUUCACAACCCUGUACCCACCCAGGAACCAGAACAAUACUAGACACACAGUAGGUGUGUAAUAAAUAUUGGGUUAAAUGAGUGAGUGGAUGCAUAAAUACUCUGUGUCAAUAUCAUUGCUCUCCCCCAUUUUUUGAAGUAAGAACACUUAUGCACAGUAAAGUUGCCUAUCAAGUGGCAGAACCAGGGUUUGAACCUAGACACUCUGGCUCAGCGUCCAUGCUCUGUACAAUGACACUAGACUGCCUUUCAGCUUGGACCUGGCUCAGAAAGAUCUUUCCAGCUUCCUAAGAUCCGGCUUCCUGGAAACAGAUAACUGGUCACCAGCUCUCUAGAUAAUGAAUAUACAGUGGGUUCUGUAGGCUUUACAGAGACUGGUGUGUGUUGGAGAGGUUAGGAGAGGAAUGAUCAUGACAAUUCAAAAUCUGAUCAGGAAACGUUGAUGCCAGCCACCGUCCUCGCUUGUCUGUAUUCUACCAGCCUCCCUGAUUCAGCCUUCGCUGGCCUGUGGUCUCUUCUGCACACCAGCCAGAGUGGUGCUCCCCAUCUCAUCACAUAAGCAGGUAUAAAUAGAGAGCCCUGUGAGAGCUGGAGGUUGAAAGGGGCAGAUAGUAAACUGCCCUGUGUUCCCAUGGACUCUUUUUAAGGCACGGGGUUGUGAUGCUGACAGGACUUUGAUUAUACACCUCUCUGUAAUUUUCUGCUUAGGAACGCAUUGGCUUUCCCAACUUGGCAUCCUCCCUUAAUGAAAAAAUUAUAGGUCUAAUUUCAAAAAAUGAAAUGUAUGCAAGCUUUCCUGCUUCUGUCACUUCUUUAUUCCUGUAGCACAUAAAUCAUUUCCCUUCUUAAAAUUAAAUUUUGCUUGCCAUGAUCUGGUAAUGGGUUUUCAAAGGAGGCAGACUAGCCAAGCUCUUGGCACAGGUGCAGGCGGCACUGCCUGCUCAGGAAAUCUUCUCAUCGCUGGCUGGCGUGGGCCUCGACUCCAUCAUCUGGGCUUUAUGCUCCCUCUGGAAGUUGCCUAGAAACUCUCUCCCUGAGAGUCUCUUCUCUGAACGGCCUUUUUGGCUCUCCAGUUGCCAUCAUGGAAGACUGAAGAACAGAUGGGAUUUGGGCAGAAAAAGACUGGUACGUUCUAAUACUUCUGGGUGCUUCCAUUCAUGCAUUGAACACCGGCUCUGUUGAAGGCGGAGGUCCAGGCAUUGUUGGGACAUGGGUCUCUGCUCUAAGACACUUAAAACUUGAGGUGGCAGAGAUAAGACAUAGAGUGAUGGACCACUAUAGAUAUUAUUGUGAUCUUCUUAAAAAUUCCUCAUCUUACCACGAGCAGCCUUAUAACAUAGUUAUUUCGGGGUCACAGACCUAGCACGUUGCCAAAGUGGGAGUUAGCACCCCCACCCCAGUCUGCUGACCCCAGGGGGUACACGUUUCCACCCUAAAGUGACAGAAGCAUGGGGCUAAGAUUCAGGACUUAUUUUGAUGUUCAGAGGAGAUGAUAUCUGUCAAGCUUUGUAAAUGGGAAAGCUCUGCCAUAUAAUCGGCACUGCAAGGCAGUCCACUAAGGGCUAACCAGAGGAGGCCAAAUUGUAGGUGCCCCUGGAAUUAAAAGAUGUAAAAGAGGGCCCAGAUGUCAGGAGAAGGCUCUGAAAGGAAGUGGAUCUUCAACUGUACCUUGAGGGAUUCAAAAAAAAAAAAAAAAAAAAAAAAAAGGAAGUUAUUUCAGGUGAGGAGAUGGAAAAUACUCCAGACUUUGAAGCUCAAAGAAAGAGAUUGUUUCCUCUGCCAUUUUUAGCUUUCAGCAUAGACGUUAAAACACACACACACACACACACACACAAAACAAAACAAACAAAAUACCAGCCUCUGCAAGCAAAACUUUUUUUCUUCCUAGAAGAUGUCACCUUCCCCUGAGGGAACCAGUGCUUCUGAGUCCUCUCAGAGACCCCAUUGUGGUUAGGACCCAGGGGAAGCCUCUUGGAGGAAAAAUCAACUUGUCUCUUAUUAAAUUGGAAAUUUCCCCUUGGGCCUAUAAGAAGGAGAAGGAGAGAUGCAUCAACUUUGCAGCAGGGGGUAAAGGACUGAGGUGCCUGCUUGGUUUCCUGGACGUUUAGGGGCUGCUUCUAGGUUGAAACUGUAGAUUCAGAACAAUCUUCUAGAACACUUCACUCCGUGUCCUUCUGUGUUCCUCAGUACUUUCUCAAAGUUGCUUUUUUCUUCUGUUUGGUAUUAAAGUUAAUGGAUUCUAUUGCAUUUCUCUUCCCUAGAUUCUAAGCUCCUAGGGGGAGUAAGAAUCAUGUGUUACUCACCUCUGUAUCAACACAUGUUUGUGUAAGUGAGUAAAAAUCCUGCCAAAUGUCAGAAGGCUUCAAAUUAUCAUUUUAUCUCCUUCCUUAAAGUCAAGUAUUUCUUAACCUCAAUCUUUAGCUCAUUGCCAAUUGAUUGAAUUCUCAAGGGAAAGUAUCUAGCUCAAAGGACAUGUUUUUUUUCCUCAACAUUUACUCACCUCUUCAAACCAGGGGAAUGUUCUUCAUAAAUCGGUCAAGAUCUUUGGUUGACGAGUUUUCAUUGGUUACGAUGUUUAAUAGAUCCCGGAGUCUGCACAACCUAGAAGGGUGUUCUCUGAGGAAGUCAAGGAGCAUCCAUAAAUUAAAGCAAAUAGUAGCCUGUACCCAUAAGUCACCACACUGAUCUUUCCAGCCUCUAACCCACAGAUCUCAGAAUUCGGUGUGAAAAUCAAGGAACACUGGCAGGGUCAUUAGCAUCUAGGACAUUGACAAGUUCCAAUUAAAUGUGGGCUAUCUGGAUCUGAAACAUAAUAUAGAUCACAGUUCACACUGGGAUCAGAUCAGAAAAUGUUGGAAAAGAAAAAGCUUAGCCAAUUGAACAUUCAUUACUAGGAAGAUUACUUGGUGGAUGGCACUUACACCCUGAGCAUACUUUGUGGAUUGUUGACUUGCGUCGUGUUCUUUAUGGAUGAGGAUGAGACCUUCUAUCUCUCAGGAGAGCUUCAGUGAGGAGAGCUCCAUCUUUGGAUGAGGCAAGUUCACAACACACAGGGUUUAACAGGCCACACUUUCUUCCUCACAGUUCCAGACGUGAAUAUUAGGUCUUUAUUUAUUUUCUUUCUAAUUUUUUAAAUGUUUAUUUAUUUUUGAGAGAGAGAGAGAGAAAGAUUCAGAGCACAAGCAGGGGAGGGGCAGAGAGAGAGGGAGACACAGAAUCUGAAGCAGGCUCCAGGCUCUGAGCUGUCAGCACAGAGGCGGACGCGGGGCUCGAACCCAUGAAGCGUGAGAUCAUGACCUGAACUGAAGCCGGACACCUAACCAACUGAGCCACCCAGGCACCCCGAAAAUUAGGUCUUUAAAAUAGGAGAUAGGGGCACGUGGGUGGCUCAGUCACUGAAGUGUACAACUCUUGGUUUCAGUUCAGAUCAUGAUCUCGUGGUUCGUGGGUUCGAGCCCCACAUCAGGCUCUGCACUGUCAGUGAAGAGUCUGCUUGGGAUUCUCUCUCUUCUCUCUCUCCUGGCCUCUUCCAACUGGGGCAGAGGCUCAUCCCGCCCUCACACUGGCAUCCACAACCCAGGAGAAGAAUGUCCUUCACACACAGAGGAGUGUUGAUCAUACUUUUCAAGUGGCCUUCACCCCAUCUUCAAGAUCUUGCCUCUGAACAACCUUGUAUAACCUCAAGGACCCAUGUCCAUGACCCCUGUGGGCAGUUGAAGAACUGAUCGGGAAAUUCAGGAGUUAAACAUGAGUGUAGUAGUGGUAAGACCUCAAUGGGAUGUGGGCAUCAGCUUCUCGAUCUGCGCUUCUUGGGGCUGUCCCCCCCCCCAAAUGGGGCCCAGUCCUGAAGGGCAUGGCAUCACCACCACGAGAUCCUAUGCAGCAAACUCUAGUCAACCAGGAUCUUGAGUCAACCAGAUGCUCCCCAUCCCAAAUACCCUUUGUACAAUAUUUCAAGGAGGGGGAAAAAAAUAGUAAAACACAGCUCAUAUGUUUUCCAAAAUAUUUUUCUCAUUAUGAAAUUAUUUCCAUUAUGGAAAGGACAAGGAUAAUAAUAAUAAUAAUUGCCACUCUUCUGUGAGCAUGCACCAUAUGUCCAUAUGUCAGGCCUUGUGCUAACUCCUUUACACACAUAAUCUCACUCCUUAGAGGCCCCUGUAAGGAAUCCCAUAUUAGCCAUCACUUCACAUGGGAGGAAGCAGAAGCUAAGAAAGGUCACAUCAGCCCAAAGUCACACGGCUAGUAAGUGGUCAGGCUGGAUUCCAGUUCAGGUCUGUCUGGCUUCAAAGCUGGUAUGCUCCUCCACUCUUUGAUAUUGCCUCCCUAAAUAUCAUUGGUAAUCUCAUCAGGGUUUAUCUAUUUCCUUCCAGACUUUUUCCAUAGCAUUUUUAUUUACUUGAGAACAUUUUAUACAUGCAGUUUUUUACCUUAAAAUUUUAGCACUUAUAAACAUUUCCUCAUAUCCUUAUGAACAGUUUCACUAGCACCAUUUUAAUGGUUGCAUAAUACUGAAUCAAAUGACUUUAUCAGAGUUUACAUAAUCCCUUUCUAUUAGAAGUUGCUUUGUUUCUUCCAGGGUUUUGUUUAGCUUUGUUGCUUCAAUGGGUAAUGUAUAAUUAACACUGUAAUGAACAUCUUUGUUUAUAAAAGCAUCAACAUUUUGAUGGUUUCUUUCGGAUAAAUUCCAAGAAUCUCUUAUUGCCAAAAUUAUUUUCCUUCUCAGCAAUAGCAGAGAUAUCAGAUAAUCAGAGCCAGCCCAGUGCUUGGUUACAAUCAGCCCUAUCUACUGAACCUUCUAUGGCUAUGGUUGACGACACUGAGAACCCAGUGUUCAGAAUGAAGAUCCACAGUUUCUGUGUGACUCUAAGGCACAAGAGGAAAAAAUUUCUUCAGUGAAUACUGGGGGACUUAGGCAAGAAAGUGAGCUCGGGCAAAGAUCUUUGGUCUCCCGAAGAACUCACUAAAAUUGUGAUUUUUAGUCUCAGACCUCCUGAAUUUGAAUGGGCAAUGUCCCGUCACCAACAUUUUAAUCUUACUUUAUGCACACUUAAGACUGAGAGUCAGUGUUGCAGGAAUGCCCAAAGUUGUAGUGGUGGCCAUGAUGCUGACGAGUGGAAGUUGACAGGGUAAUGAUUACUGCCAGCUCUUCCUUCCUUAAUUGCUUCCAUCCAGGUGUGAUGGCAGAACCCUUGAGCUGCAAUUGCACUGACGUGCUAGGCUGAGAUGACAAAUGGCAGCAGAAGGUAGGGUAUGUUCCCCGGGCAGUCACGGGCUCCCGUAAAAGGCUUUCCUUAAGGAAAAGUGCAUGAUUUUGGAGGGAUACACUCUAGUGCUAUGAAUUACCCAGAAAUAGGAAAAAGUGCAAUGUACCAGAAAAGGCCCUUGACUGGGAGUCAAGAGAACUGAGUUUAGAAUCUGGCCCUCUCACCAAAUAUGGAGCUUCACCAACUCAGUUAAUUCCAGAUUUCCAGUCUUACCUCUGAAAUGGAGGGUUGGACUGGAUUUUUGAGCUUUUUUGGAUUUCCGCCCCAUUGGAGGAUCUGAAGGAAGCUAUGAGUCUUCUUCUCAUGAAAGUGUGCGCACAAACAUCAUCAUCAUCAUUACCAUCAUGGUUUUGAACAAUGUUAGCAAAAAUUAACCUAUCAAGCAAAUAUAGGAAAUCUGCAUAUAUUUCUCAGGAUUUGUCCACUUAUGUGAAACCUUAGGUUAUGAACCCCUAGACCAGGUGAUCUUCCAGAUCUCUUUCUGUCCUCACAUACUUGCAUUCUAUCUGUGAAACAGAUCAUGAUUUGUAACGAUUCUCUGUCAAUGUUACAUUUCACUACCUAGGGCAGCUCAUUUCCUGAGAAUUCUGGGUAAUUAAAAAAAUAACAAUAACUCCUACCUUUUAUUGAGAGUGUACUAUGUGUCAGGCACUGUAUUAGGUGUCUAAAUAGAGUCUGUGUCCCAAAAUGAUAUCUAUUUAAUGGAUCACAUAUAUUUUAUAUGAUUAAUCACUUUAGUGGAAGGUUUAGUGAAGGUUUAAGGUUCAAUGUGUAUUGAGCACUUAAUAUAUACAUCACCUCCUUAAAUUCUCACAAUACUUUGAUGUAGGUAGUGUCCUGUUUUGCAGAUGAAAAAAUUGAGGUUCAGAGCUAUUUAAGAGGAAGCCAUCCACCAGCAAGUGGUGGAGCUGGGAUUCAAACCCAGCUUGGUACUCUCCAGCUAGUGCUCCUGUGGGGUGUGCUGCAUUGCUGUCCAUGGUAAACGGGUAACUACUCUGAUUCGCGUGAAGAAUGAUUGCAAGAAUCCAAAGUGUGCUCAAAAUUUUCGACAAAAGGGAUGCAAAAAAUGUCCCCACAGAAGUUCUUCACAUUCAGCUGCACAGUCUUUGUUUCCAACGCCCAGCAAUAUCCAUUUAAUGAGGCAUGUGAGCCUAAGCAUGAUAGCUCGCCUUAGCCUCACCUGACAUAUACUGGGCACCUGCUGAAGGCGAGGUGUUACACUGGCAAGACCGGGGAGUGAGACAUCCGGUGUGUGCCAUCAGGGGCACUGCAUCAGGCCCAGUGUUCCCUCAGCGUGCAACACUGGCUCCAUUCUCACAGUGUGCUAAAUAGGGCAGAUUUAUGGCCCAUGGGCCCUAUCUGGCCCAUUGCUGUCUUACAGAGUUGCUUGUUUGUUUAAUUUUUUUAAGAGAGAGAGAGAAAGAGAGCGAGCACAAAUGGGGGAGAGGCAGAGAGAGAGGGAGAGAGAGAAUCCCAAGUAGACUGUGCACAGUCAACACAGAGCCCAAUGCGGGGCUUGAUCUCAUGAACUCUUGAGAUCAUGACCUGAGCCAAAACCAAGAGUCAGAUGCUUAACCAACAGAGCCACCCAGGUGCCUGAUGUCUUAUAGAAUGUUUUGCUGAGCGCUGCCACACCACACUCAUGUGUCUCUGUCUCGUCCAUGACUGUUUUUGUGCUACAACAGACAAGUCGAGUAGAGUAUGCCCUACAAGGCUGAAAAUAUUUACACUCCUACCCUUUACAGAAAAAUUUGCCGAUCCCUGAUACAGACCAAACAACUAGGUACUAUAUUUCAUCCAAUCUAAACAUCAUUUGUAAUACACAUCAUUUUCAUACAUACUGCCAAGAAAUAAAAAGCAUUAUCACUGUAAGAUGCUGUCCAUUUGGGAGGCCACUGAUUCUGGAGACAUUGAAAUGUGAUAAGAACUGUAUGCCUUACACUUGAAAUUUGGUACUUUUCAGAGAGAUAUUUUAGAGACAUUUUUUAAAAAUGUAAAUAUGGAUUGUCAUAAA
Long non-coding RNA from Neofelis nebulosa (Clouded leopard), 14993 nucleotides. RefSeq lists it as uncharacterized. The transcript is spliced from 2 exons. NCBI's taxonomy places the organism in Eukaryota, Metazoa, Chordata, Mammalia, Carnivora, Felidae. The record is from RefSeq and is a predicted model, not a curated record.